RNAcentral lists this long non-coding RNA (225 nucleotides) under Homo sapiens (human). RNAcentral's name for it is "HSALNT0222355". The record is from RNAcentral. Lineage: Eukaryota; Metazoa; Chordata; Mammalia; Primates; Hominidae.
CUGUGGUUUACCAAGUCCUCCAGAUGAUUCUGAUGCAAACUCAAGUUUGAGACUCCCUGCAUUAUGCCUUCCUCUUAUGCCCUAACCUAUAACUUUACUAAUAAUCCCUUUACGAAGCCAGCCUCAGAUAGUCGUUAAGUUGAAUGUGCCAUCUGUCUCCUCUUGAAAGCCUGUCUCAUGAACCUUUGUUUAUAGAUCUCUGCACAUAUGUGUGAGUUUAUUAGA